UUACCCACUCCCGGCACGGGGAGGUAGUGACGAAAAAUAACGAUACGGGACUCAUCCGAGGCCCCGUAAUCGGAAUGAGUACACUCUAAACCCUUUAACGAGGAUCAAUUGGAGGGCAAGUCUGGUGCCACGAGCCGCGGUAACUCCAGCUCCAAUAGCGUAUAUUAAAGUUGUUGCGGUUAAAAAGCUCGUAGUCGAAUUUGUGUCUCGCGCCGCCGGUUCAUCGUCCGCGGUGUCAACUGGCGUGUCGCGAGACGUCCUGCCGGUGGGCUUAGCUCGCAAGAGCGGCCCAACUCAAUCCUGCCGCGGUGCUCUUCACUGAGUGUCGAGGUGGGCCGGCACGUUUACUUUGAACAAAUUAGAGUGCUUAAAGCAGGCUAAAACUUCGCCUGAAUACUGUGUGCAUGGAAUAAUGGAAUAGGACCUCGGUUCUAUUUUGUUGGUUUUCGGAACCCCGAGGUAAUGAUUAAUAGGAACGGAUGGGGGCAUUCGUAUUGCGACGUUAGAGGUGAAAUUCUUGGAUCGUCGCAAGACGGACAGAAGCGAAAGCAUUUGCCAAAAACGCUUUCAUUGAUCAAGAACGAAAGUUAGAGGUUCGAAGGCGAUCAGAUACCGCCCUAGUUCUAACCAUAAACGAUGCCAGCUAGCGAUCCGUCGACGUUCCUCCGAUGACUCGACGGGCAGCUUCCGGGAAACCAAAGCUUUUGGGUUCCGGGGGAAGUAUGGUUGCAAAGCUGAAACUUAAAGGAAUUGACGGAAGGGCACCACCAGGAGUGGAGCCUGCGGCUUAAUUUGACUCAACACGGGAAACCUCACCAGGCCCGGACACCGGAAGGAUUGACAGAUUGAGAGCUCUUUCUUGAUUCGGUGGGUGGUGGUGCAUGGCCGUUCUUAGUUGGUGGAGCGAUUUGUCUGGUUAAUUCCGAUAACGAACGAGACUCUAGCCUGCUAACUAGGCGCAUUUUGACAUCGCAAAGGCCCGCCGGCUUGGGG
RNAcentral lists this ribosomal RNA (993 nucleotides) under Ischnopterapion virens. RNAcentral's name for it is "SSU rRNA". It matches the Rfam family "Eukaryotic small subunit ribosomal RNA", at positions 441 to 1416 of the family's 1831-position model. Lineage: Eukaryota; Metazoa; Arthropoda; Insecta; Coleoptera; Brentidae. The record is from RNAcentral.